AGUUUUAUGAUUAUAAACAUAAACAUAUAAGCCUCAUAUGAAAAAGGCUUAUAUAUAUAUCUGCAUGAGCCCUUUUCAUAUAUAUAUAUAUGUCUAAGGGACUGUGAGCAGAAGCUCCAGUGGUCACCAGAGCCAGGCAAAGUGGAUGUGUCUCUUGGGUGGCAGUUGCAAAAACCAGGGCACCAGGCGUACACCCAGCUGCAGAUGCGCGUGACAAGGUAUCUUGGGUGAUGAGGGCGCUCCCGCGGGAAGGAGGGAGCGCGCGAACAUGGCGCCUUCCAGUCUCUGCUUCUGGGACGCUCCCCACAGGUCCCCAAAUGAGUGUUAGAUGAAAUGCCUGCCCCUCUAGGCUGAAGCUCCAAGAGGAGCAAGUGAACGUCUCCCAGGCAAAGUCCAGGAGCUUCUCCGUCCGCCGCUUGGAAGCGGGAACUGCGAGGUCCGCAUGCCUCAGACCUUGGUGUUUUGGGGACACCGUGUCUUGGCCUGCCCUUUCAUCAUUCUGUAGACACUGCUGAUGCUGCUCCUUGAGGAGGCCAGGGUUUAUGCCUUUCACAGCAACAGGACCUUUCACUCUGGGGAAAGACAGCUGCCAUGUCGUGAGGACACUCAACCAAUCUACAGCAAGGUCCACAUGGUGAGUAACGCGGCUUCCUGCCAACAGCUGUGUGAUCGAGUAACUUGGAAGCAAACACUGAGAACUCUGGCUCUUAUUUAAAAGCCCGUGAGUAAUUACCAAGGCUUUAACUGGCAGGUCUGAUGGGAGAAAGCUGCCCUCUCUGGGCCAGACCUGUGUACAACUAGUGCAUUACAGCCUGUGAAGAGAGCUGCAGUCAGCCAUUCAGGUUUCCUGGCCAGUCAUAUUCUUCACAUAUUUGAUUUCUUGGUUUUGAUGGGCACCCGCAUUCUGAGGUCUCUUUAUCUGAGGUCAUCUCCAGGUACCUCUGCUGAGGCCUCUUUACUGGGGGGAGGAGGAGGAAGAAAUCUUGAAUUCACCGAGGACGGUGUUAGGAAGGCUUCUCUAAGGAAGUAAUAAGUGAACUCAGAUCUAAAUGAUACUAAGAGCUAACUAGAUGAAAUAGGAACUUGUGAAUAGGUAAAAGGGGUCUUAGCCUAAGGAGUAGCAUGUACUCACCCAGAAUUCUGGCCUCAUGACUGUGAGGCUUCAUAAUGUAAGUAGGGAGAAAAGCAAGAUGAACUAAAAUCAUCUCCAGAACGCUGACCUAGGCACUGACCCCAGUGUGCUUGCUUUUUGGAAGCAGGAGGUGCACAAUGCAUCCUGUUUCUUAGCAGGAAGAGUCUAAAGAGUGAGAAGAAAAGGCUGAAUUGUAUAUAUUCAGUUCUUUUCUCAAUCUUACCCUUAAGAGUGACAUACCUUUUCACUAGAGGGGGCAGAUAAGGGAAAACAGCUCCACCAAUGGACCACAUAGGGCCUUAGUGAGGUUGUAUUUUUCCACGUGUUGUUACAAUGAUCAGCAUCCUGAGGACAUUUUAUAGGUCAUAAAAUCAGCAAGUGUUAACUGUGAUAAUUUGGACACCAGUGAUUUGGGCUCUUGGCAGGGCAAAAAAACAUGAAGCUUUUGAUGAAUAAGAUUAUGGACAUGGUCCUUGAUCAGGAGCAGAUGGUUAAAUUUGUUGCUGUAAUCAGUUUGUCUUCAAUUCAAUGCCGAUUUAUUUGUGGUCAUUUCAUUGUUUUCUCCACUGAGACAUUAAAAGACUAGUAAUUAACUUGAAGGAAAAAAGAAAAGUGUGAAUUCCAUAAAAGUACCUUCAUUAAGUUCUUUAUAUUCUCUUCUUCAUCUGUCAUGAUAGUACAUUGAACUACGUAUUCCUUAUAUCUGUUUAACAAAUGUGUAUUCGAGAACUACUGUGUGUUGAGCUGUGUACUAAAUCUAGUGAACAGAAUGCUGGGAAAAACAGAAAAAACAUUAUUUCUGAAGUCAAAAAGCUUAUACUCUACUAAAGAAACAAAUAUCAAUAGAAUAAUUCCAAAAAAGUAAAUGUAAAAUUAUACUUGUAAUAGCUGCUAAGAACAGAUGCAUGGUACUGUGGUAGCCACUAAGAAGGGAUUUGACUUAGAUGGGGAGUAGAAAAGACUUCUCUCAAGAAAUAGUAUUUAAGCUGAAAUCUGAGAGGCAAGUAGUAAUACCUGAGGCCAGAAGAGUGGAGAUAGGAAGGAGAUUUUCCAGCCUGAGAAAAUAGCUUGUGUGACUGCCACCUGGCCGCAGGCAGUGUGGUUAAACAUAAGGGGUGGAUGAGGCCUCUUGUGUCUAUACCCAAUUCAGAAUGUGAGUGACUGUUCAUCUGACUUUUUCAAACAUCAUAUUUUCCUGGACAAAACAACAAAUGGAUGCUGGAGUUGGGAAUUUAUUUGCCUGAAGUAUUCAAUUAGGGUAAUGCUAGCUAUCGAAACAAGGAAAUUAAAAUUCCAGUGGCUUAACAUAAUAGAGUUUUCUUUCUAUUCCUGAACAAGUAUACUGGGAUGUACUGUUUGGUGGUGGCUUUGGGGUGUUUCAGGGACUCAGGCACCUUCCAUCUUGCAGCUCCACCAUCUACUAGGCUCCAACAGGUGGAGGGAGGCAGCAAAGAGUGUACAACUGCUUCUGUUAUAAAUGCAGGCUCAGAAGUAAUACACACAUUUAUUGGUGUGAAUUAGUCAUGGGAUUGGACUUUUAUGCAAAGGGCUUCUGGGGAAUGUACUCAUUGCCUGGGAAGAUGCCUCUGGGAAAUACCUACUGUAUUCUAGAAUAGGGAACAUAAUUUUCUGUGUGGACAGCUAACAUCUUUACCGCACGUACUGAAUGAAUGCAAAUUGCUGAUUAGUUAUGCAAAUAUACUCCAACUUUGAAUUUCACCGCUCUCUGGGAAAUUAUGUAACAUUUUCAAAACAACGUGUUGAUUUUUUAUUACUCAAUGAAUUUCUUACAUUUGUAGUUGUACAAUGAUUGGCACAAUCCAAUUUUAUAGGAUUUCCAUCCCAUAACCCCAGCACAUCCCU
Non-coding RNA from Sus scrofa (pig), 2995 nucleotides. NCBI's taxonomy places the organism in Eukaryota, Metazoa, Chordata, Mammalia, Artiodactyla, Suidae. The record is from RefSeq and is a predicted model, not a curated record.